CGCGUAGGCGGAUCUUUAAGUCAGGGGUGAAAUCCCGGGGCUCAACCUCAGAACUGCCCUUGAUACUGGAGAUCUUGAGUCCGGGAGAGGUUAGUGGAAUUCCCAGUGUAGAGGUGAAAUUCGUAGAUAUUGGGAAGAACACCAGUGGCGAAGGCGGCUAACUGGUCCGGUACUGACGCUGAGGUGCGAAAGCGUGGGGAGCAAACA
Molecule: ribosomal RNA, 207 nt
Filed under: uncultured bacterium
Lineage: Bacteria
Description: partial 16S ribosomal RNA
Rfam family: Bacterial small subunit ribosomal RNA
Source: RNAcentral